Molecule: ribosomal RNA, 243 nt
Filed under: uncultured Actinomycetales bacterium
Lineage: Bacteria; Bacillati; Actinomycetota; Actinomycetes; Actinomycetales
Description: partial 16S ribosomal RNA
Rfam family: Bacterial small subunit ribosomal RNA
Source: RNAcentral
UACUCGAGUGGCUAACGGGUGAGUAACACGUGGGUGAUCUGCCCUGCACUUCGGGAUAAGCUUGGGAAACUGGGUCUAAUACCGGAUAGGAACCAUCUUUAGUGUGGUGGUUGGAAAGUUUUUUCGGUGUAGGAUGAGCUCGCGGCCUAUCAGCUUGUUGGUGGGGUAAUGGCCUACCAAGGCGGCGACGGGUAGCCGGCCUGAGAGGGUGUACGGCCACAUUGGGACUGAGAUACGGCCCAG